This 253-nucleotide ribosomal RNA is filed under the name uncultured bacterium. Its description in RNAcentral is "partial 16S ribosomal RNA". It matches the Rfam family "Archaeal small subunit ribosomal RNA", at positions 474 to 727 of the family's 1478-position model. The record is from RNAcentral.
UACCAGCACCCCGAGUGGUCGGGGCGAUUAUUGGGCCUAAAGCAUCCGUAGCCGGUUCUACAAGUCUUCCGUUAAAUCCACCUGCUUAACAGAUGGGCUGCGGAGGAUACUAUGGAGCUAGGAGGCGGGAGAGGCAAGCGGUACUUAGUGGGUAGGGGUAAAAUCCGCUGAUCCAUAGAAGACCACCAGUGGCGAAGGCGGCUUGCCAGAACGCGCUCGACGGUGAGGGAUGAAAGCUGGGGGAGCAAACCGG